This 1586-nucleotide unclassified non-coding RNA is filed under the name Leishmania donovani. RNAcentral describes it as "gene:LdHU3.08.0370(CDS-product:Isochorismatase_fa mily_putative)". The record is from RNAcentral. Lineage: Eukaryota; Euglenozoa; Kinetoplastea; Trypanosomatida; Trypanosomatidae.
CGCACGCGAAUGCGCGUGUAGUUGUCAGCACACACUGCCGCAGCCCUGGCAGCAACUGAAAGCGACGACGCAGGCACGUAAUCAAGCAGCAUCUCACCCCUCUCAGCGCCGGCCGUACAUCGAUGGCCCACACCGGGGGCGCCGGCACGCUUUGUGAGAAGGCGCCGGCGACGGCCGAGAGACCCACCUCAGAUGUUACGGUGCCGCAGCGGAGGAGGCACGCGACGCAGCUGCUGCGCAAGUUCACGGAGUGCCGCACCCUCUUCAUGUGCUGCGAUAUUCAGGAAAAGCUGGCGGAGAAGAUCCCUGGCUUUAACGAGACCAUCCGCAUCACGAACGACCUCACCCUCUUCUGUGAGAUGCUGGGCCCGACGUACUGCAACGUGUUGGCCACCGUGCAGUACCCGGCUGGCGUGGGGCCGCUCUACCACGAGAUUCAGCUGCCGCCCAGUGCCCCCGUGAUCCCAAAGAUGGAGCCAUCGAUGCUGUUGCCCGAAGCCCUGCCGUACCUCUACGGUGACGCGGACCACGGCAUUCUGCCGGUGCAGCAAGUCGUGCUUUGGGGGCACGAGACACACAUCUGCAUCAUGCAGACCGCGGACGAGCUGCUGCGCCGCGGCUUUCGCGUAGCGAUCGCGACGGACGGCUGUGCGGCGCAGCGGCGCCUCGACCACGAGGUCGCCAUUAUGGAGAUGUCCAAGUGGGAGGGGCUGCUGCUGACAAAUUCUAUCGGCGUGUACACGAUGAUCGUGCGCGCGGACGACAGCGUAUGGAAGCCGGUGAUGCAGCUUAUUCGAGAUGGCGCGCACGCGUUCAAGCGGCCCUACGAGCGCUCCGAGGACCCAACGGUGCCGCCGCAGGAGCGCGAGCGUCAAUCGUGACGCCGCAGUGACGGACUAGAUUGAAAGUAGAGAUGAAGCACCACGAGGAUGAGCACGCACAGGCCAUCGUUUCCGUGUCGUCGUCACGCCGACGUCGUGACGGUGCCGUGCACUGGCUCCUGCACACACACACACACACGCAGACGUGUCUCCCUGUCGUUUUGUGUGUUUGUGUGUGUGUGUGUGUGUGCUUGCUCCCUCUUUCUCUCUCCAGCUCGCUCGCUUCGAUCUGCCUCGCACACGCCCACCUCCUGUGCUGUGGCUUGCGGCGCAUAUUCGGUUGGACGCACGUCUCCUGUCUCCCUGCCGUACCUCCCCCCCCCCAUCCGCCUUUCAUGCGCCACCGCGUGCCGCAGCGUGAUGGGUGGGUGGGGGGCGGGGGAAGAAGCGGAAGCGAAGGCGCUUUGUUUUGCUCGUGUGCUCGUGUGUCUGUGUGCAAACGCCGCCAUGCUCGCGCGGUUGCCUGCUCAUGCCAUCAUGCAUCACCCCAUCUCGCCCAGCCGCAUCCUCCGGCUCCGCGCCACUCUCUUACACAUACACACACACCUUAUCGCUCUCGCUGCGCCCGCCGCCCCUCUUUACGGGAGCGCCACUGCGGUGAUGACGUUCUCGAGCCCCGCGCACGGCCUCUGCGGAGGCGGCGAAGGGCCGGGGGGGGAAGAGCAGAGUUUGCUUGACAAGCAAGAAGAUGCUCCACAGGCGAUC